CUUGUACACUCCGCCCGUCACACCAUGGGAGUGGGUUCCACCAGAAGUAGGUAGCCUAACCGCAAGGGGGGCGCUUACCACGGUGAGAUUCAUGACUGGGGUG
RNAcentral lists this ribosomal RNA (103 nucleotides) under uncultured bacterium. RNAcentral's name for it is "partial 16S ribosomal RNA". It matches the Rfam family "Bacterial small subunit ribosomal RNA", at positions 1380 to 1482 of the family's 1533-position model. The record is from RNAcentral.